This 507-nucleotide ribosomal RNA is filed under the name Nematoda environmental sample. RNAcentral's name for it is "SSU rRNA". It matches the Rfam family "Eukaryotic small subunit ribosomal RNA", at positions 231 to 738 of the family's 1831-position model. The record is from RNAcentral. Lineage: Eukaryota; Metazoa; Nematoda.
CUUCGGCUUGUGUUUUGGUGACUCUGAAUAACUGAGUUGAUCGCACAGUCUUAGUACUGGCGACGUAUCUUUCAAAUGUCUGCCUUAUCAACUUUCGAUGGUAGGUUAUACGCCUACCAUGGUUAUAACGGGUAACGGAGAAUAAGGGUUCGACUCCGGAGAGGGAGCCUGAGAAAUGGCUACCACAUCCAAGGAAGGCAGCAGGCGCGCAAAUUACCCAAUCCCAGAACGGGGAGGUAGUGACGAAAAAUAACGAGACAGUCCACUAUGUGGCCUGUCAUCGGAAUGGGUACAAUUUAAAAACUUUAACGAGGAUCUAUUAGAGGGCAAGUCUGGUGCCAGCAGCCGCGGUAAUUCCAGCUCUAAUAGCGUAUAUUAAAGUUGUUGUGGUUAAAACGCCCGUAGUUGGAUCUUCGGUCUUGAAGCUCGGUAGCUCGUAAGGGUUUAACUGAGUCUUCUGGCCUAAAUUUUAGUAUUCUCCUGAUGCUCUUUAUUGAGUGUCUUGAG